RNAcentral lists this long non-coding RNA (201 nucleotides) under Elaeis guineensis (African oil palm). RNAcentral's name for it is "long non-coding RNA (EGUI_LNC047169)". The record is from RNAcentral. Lineage: Eukaryota; Viridiplantae; Streptophyta; Magnoliopsida; Arecales; Arecaceae.
GGAGUCCUCAAACCUGAGUUGAACAUUUGGGCGGAAAAAUAAUCAGGCAUGCUUAAUUGCUCAAAAUCAAUAUCUGCCUUGCAAAGCAAUUUUCUUCUGUUUGGUGUGAUAACUGGAUAACUUUUUUUUUCUUGUCUAGUAUAGCCAAUGUUCUCUCUUUUAUCUCUUAAGAACUCAGGUUUUUAACUAUUAGUCCGAAGA